RNAcentral lists this ribosomal RNA (443 nucleotides) under uncultured bacterium. RNAcentral describes it as "partial 16S ribosomal RNA". It matches the Rfam family "Bacterial small subunit ribosomal RNA", at positions 338 to 795 of the family's 1533-position model. The record is from RNAcentral.
GCUACGGGAGGCUGCAGUGGGGAAUAUUGGGCAAUGGGCGCAAGCCUGACCCAGCAACGCCGCGUGAAGGAAGAAGGCUUUCGGGUUGUAAACUUCUUUUCUCAGGGACGAAGCAAGUGACGGUACCUGAGGAAUAAGCCACGGCUAACUAGGUGCCAGCAGCCGCGGGAAUACGUAGGUGGCAAGCGUUAUCCGGAUUUACUGGGUGUAAAGGGCGUGUAGGCGGGAAAGCAAGUCAGAUGUGAAAACCAUGGGCUCAACCUGUGGCCUGCAUUUGAAACUGUUUUUCUUGAGUACUGGAGAGGCAAUCGGAAUUCCGUGUGUAGCGGUGAAAUGCGUAGAUAUACGGAGGAACACCAGUGGCGAAGGCGGAUUGCUGGACAGUAACUGACGCUGAGGCGCGAAAGCGUGGGGAGCAAACAGGAUUAGAUACCCGGGUAGUC